CUCUGUGACUCCUACGGGAGGCAGCAGUGGGGAAUAUUGCACAAUGGGGGAAACCCUGAUGCAGCCAUGCCGCGUGUGUGAAGAAGGCCUUCGGGUUGUAAAGCACUUUCAGUAGGAGGAAGGUAGUGUAGUUAACACCUGCACUAUUUGACGUUACCUACAGAAGAAGCACCGGCUAACUCCGUGCCAGCAGCCGCGGUAAUACGGAGGGUGCGAGCGUUAAUCGGAAUUACUGGGCGUAAAGCGCAUGCAGGCGGCCUGUUAAGUCAGAUGUGAAAGCCCGGGGCUUAACCUCGGAAUUGCAUUUGAAACUGGCAGGCUAGAGUCUUGUAGAGGGGGUAGAAUUUCAGGUGUAGCGGUGAAAUGCGUAGAGAUCUGAAGGAAUACCAGUGGCGAAGGCGGCCCCCUGGACAAAGACUGACGCUCAGAUCGCGAAAGCGUGGGGAGCAAACAGGAUUAGAUACCCUCGGUAG
RNAcentral lists this ribosomal RNA (473 nucleotides) under uncultured bacterium. RNAcentral's name for it is "bacterial SSU rRNA". It matches the Rfam family "Bacterial small subunit ribosomal RNA", at positions 328 to 793 of the family's 1533-position model. The record is from RNAcentral.